Small nucleolar RNA from Amaranthus tricolor (Joseph's coat), 107 nucleotides. The record is from RefSeq and is a predicted model, not a curated record. NCBI's taxonomy places the organism in Eukaryota, Viridiplantae, Streptophyta, Magnoliopsida, Caryophyllales, Amaranthaceae.
AUUCCAUGAUGUGGGCGCUUUCUGAGUAGGCAUUUGUACCUCUCCGAUGCCUCAUAGAGUGACUCACUGGGCUCCUAUAUGAAUUGGGUGAUGUCAUUCCUUAAUCU